GCGCUGUGUCCCGGUAGCUCAGCGCGGACUUCCUUUAUGUGGUACAGGGUUGGGCCUGGAGACGCGGAGGCCGGCGAGGUCCUGGCUGGGAGAGGCCGCCGCUGCCUUCAGGUUUCCGAGGAAUAAAAGCCUCAUCCUGCUGGGAAGGGCAGAAAAGAGGAAGCUGAAGACAUCAGUGGGAAGACAUAGUAUAGUGGCUGCUGGAAGAAGAUCUGGGAAAAAACAAGGAGACCCUCUACCCAGGAAUGGGAGGAAGAUGCAUGGAUCAGCAUCACACCUGCAGGAGGGCAGGGAUACUUGGAAGGACACAACCUGAGCCAGGACUGUGAUGUCUGCCUGCAGUAUGGCUCCCUCAGAAGGACAGAGAGUGCCCGUUCAGUGCGACCCUUCCCACCACAUUGACAAUUGUCCGGUCCAUGUGGCUUUAGAAUGACCUGGGGGAUUUGAAAGACAGAGUCUCUCUGGAUAGCACAAGACUAAAGCCCAAAGCCAAGCAGGAAACAAAAUUAAGGUGUUACUGGAGGAAUCUGGGUGUCUGGUGGCUACAGAGGAAAUGUACUUCAAUUCUGGCAGCCACUGCAAUAAGGACUUUCAAAUGUAGUCCUGAGUAGUUUCACACAAUUUUCUACAAUAAAGGCCUAGAAAAGAUAUGGUGUUAUCAUCUACAAAAAAUGCAAAAAAUCAUAAAACAAAUAAUUAGCUGAUAUAAUAAAUCUGAUAGAAGUAUCUGCAGAACAUAAAUAUCAAAAUAACUUGCAUAAAUACAUUAAAACAUUUACACUUGAUCCCAUUGUUAGUCUAUGCCUAACUUCAUAAGAAAUUGCCAAUAUGUGGUAUACCCAAUACUAUUAUAACUAAUACUAUAUUGAUUUUAUGCUUGUAACAAAGAGCACAGAGUAGGUUCUGUAAGAACUAUUAAUGAAAAAGUCAACUUUGCAAAAUAUUUAGAUUUAUUCGAGCCAAAUGUGAGGACCAUGCCCUGUGACACAGCCCCAGAAGAUCUUGAGAACGUGUGCCCAAAGUGGCUUGAUUGCAGCUUAAAUUUAAUGUCUUAGAGAGAAAGACAUCAGUCAAUACAUAUGAGACAUGUGUCGAUUUGUUUCAUAAAGAUAAAAGAGCUACAAGUGAGGCAGUGUGGGGAGGGGAUUACAGCUUACAGGUGAAUUCAAAGAUUUUCUGAUUGAAAGACUUAACUUUUUAUUUAAAGAGCUGAAAUCAGUAGAAAAACGUUUCUGUGUUUGAAGGGGGCCAGCCCCUCCACAACUGUGGGUAUUUCUCGUCAGGUGGGAUGAGAGACUGAGAAAAGAAAUAAGACACAGAGACAAAGUAUAGAGAAAGAACAGUAGGCACAGGGGACCGGUGCUCAGCAUACGGAGGACCCACACCGGCACCGGUCUCUGAGUUCCCUCAGUAUUUAUUGAUUAUUAUUUUCACUAUCUCAGCAAGGGGAAUGUGGCAGAACAGGGUGAUAGUGGGGAGAAGGGCAGCAAGAAAACGUGUGAGCAAAGGAAUCUGUGUCACAAAUAAGUUCAAGGGAAGGUACUAUCGCUGGAUGUGCACAUAGGCCAGAUUUAUGCUUCUCUCCACCCUAACAUCUCAGUGUAGUAAAGAGUAACAGAGGAGCAUUGCUGCCAACAUGUCUCACCUCCAGCCACAGGGUGGUUUUCUCCUAUCUCAGAAUAGAACAAAUGUACAAUUGGGUUUUAUACCGAGACAUUCCAUUCCCAGGGACAUGCAGGAGACAGAGGCCUUCCUCUUUUACUAAUCCUCCUCAGCAUAGACCCUUCACGGUUGUCAGGCUGGGGGACGGUCAGGUCUUUUCCAUCCCACGAGGCCAUAUCUUAGGCUGUCUCAGUGGGGAGAAAUGUUGGACAAUACCCGGCUUCCCUGGGCAGAGGUCCCUGUGGCUUUCUGCACUGCAUUGUUACCCUUGGUUAAUCAAGAAUGGAGAAUGGUGAUGACUUUUACCAAGCAUACUGCCUGUAAACAUAUUGUUAACAAGGCACAUCCUGCACAGCCCUAGAUCCCUUAAACUUUGAUUCCAUACAACAUAUGUUUCUGUGAGCACAAGGUUGGGGCAAAAGUUACAGAUUAACAGCAUCUCAAGGCAAAACAAUUCUUCAGGGUACAGAUCAAAAUGGAGUUUCUUACGUCUUCCUUUUCUACAUAGAGUAACAGUCUGAUCUCUCUUUUCCCUACAUAGGUUAGGAUAACGGGUUUUGGAGAACAAGAUUCUUAUUAUGUAGAUGAAUUCUCUUAUGUGGCCACCGUUAGAGGCAGUAGAUAGCAAAUGUUUUCUACUAUGACAUUUAAAAGAUGCUAGACUCUCAGCUAAUCUAACAACUAGACCUGGAAAGGGAAGGAGAUUCGCUACAGAACGUAAAUUUCUCUCUCAAAAGAUAACUGUGCAGGGUGAUUUUAAAAUAUGUCAAAUAAAUAUAUUUUAGGGUAAAAGUCUUUGAUUCUUUUCAAGGUCUGCUCUCUGUCAUGUGAUCCUAUUCUUGAGUCAGGUUAGAAUUUGGUAUCUUACUGCUGCAAAGAAUCUGUUUUCUGAGUCUUAAGAUCUGUUUUAAUGAAAAAUACUGGUUAGUUGUGCUUGAAUUCCAAAGGGAGGAGGGUAUAAUGAGGCAUUUCUGAACCUCUAUUUCUCACAUGAACUGCACUACGUUUUCAAGAGUCUCUGGAACUCCUUUUUGACAAGAAAGGGUACAUUCAGGGAAUGUGCAAUUAGCUGGAUUCCCCUGCAUUGCUGUUUUUUAAUACCUAAUUUAUAUAGAUACAUGAGUUCAAAAUCUUUAUGGGGUAUAUAUUUUGAUAAAAGAUUAUUAUAUGCAGUGAUUAAAUCUGGAUAACUGGUAUAUCUUUCAUCUCCAUCAUUGAUUAUUUCUUUGUGUUAACAAUUCUAAAUCUUCUCUUCUAGCUGUUUUGUAAUAUACACUAAAUUAUUAACUGUACAUGUCUAUGUGCCAUUUCAGCAUUACCACCAGCAAAGAGUGAAUGUUCCUGUUUUUCAACUUCCUC
Molecule: long non-coding RNA, 3021 nt
Filed under: Homo sapiens (human)
Lineage: Eukaryota; Metazoa; Chordata; Mammalia; Primates; Hominidae
Description: HSALNT0216970
Source: RNAcentral